This 417-nucleotide ribosomal RNA is filed under the name uncultured Staphylococcus sp. Its description in RNAcentral is "bacterial SSU rRNA". It matches the Rfam family "Bacterial small subunit ribosomal RNA", at positions 273 to 682 of the family's 1533-position model. The record is from RNAcentral. Lineage: Bacteria; Bacillati; Bacillota; Bacilli; Caryophanales; Staphylococcaceae.
GCAACGAUGCAUAGCCGACCUGAGAGGGUGAUCGGCCACACUGGAACUGAGACACGGUCCAGACUCCUACGGGAGGCAGCAGUAGGGAAUCUUCCGCAAUGGGCGAAAGCCUGACGGAGCAACGCCGCGUGAGUGAUGAAGGUCUUCGGAUCGUAAAACUCUGUUAUUAGGGAAGAACAUAUGUGUAAGUAACUGUGCACAUCUUGACGGUACCUAAUCAGAAAGCCACGGCUAACUACGUGCCAGCAGCCGCGGUAAUACGUAGGUGGCAAGCGUUAUCCGGAAUUAUUGGGCGUAAAGCGCGCGUAGGCGGUUUUUUAAGUCUGAUGUGAAAGCCCACGGCUCAACCGUGGAGGGUCAUUGGAAACUGGAAAACUUGAGUGCAGAAGAGGAAAGUGGAAUUCCAUGUGUAGCGGU